This 253-nucleotide ribosomal RNA is filed under the name uncultured bacterium. RNAcentral describes it as "partial 16S ribosomal RNA". It matches the Rfam family "Bacterial small subunit ribosomal RNA", at positions 524 to 776 of the family's 1533-position model. The record is from RNAcentral.
UACGUAGGGGGCAAGCGUUGUCCGGAAUCAUUGGGCGUAAAGAGCGUGUAGGCGGCCCGAUAAGUCCGCUGUGAAAGUCCAGGGCUCAACCCUGGAAUGCCGGUGGAUACUGUCGGGCUCGAGUCCGGAAGAGGCGAGUGGAAUUCCUGGUGUAGCGGUGAAAUGCGCAGAUAUCAGGAGGAACACCGGUGGCGAAGGCGGGUCUCUGGGCCGAUACUGACGCUGAGACGCGAAAGCGUGGGGAGCGAACAGG